GGGUCCACCUUCAGGGUGGAGUAANGMAAUAGCAUCCGUCUGGGAGUACGGCGCAAGSUGAGACUCAAAGGAAUUGACGGGACCNGCACAAGCGGUGGAGCAUGUGGUUAAUUCGAAGCAACGCGAAGAACCUUACSAGGUCUUGACAUCCCGAGGACCGCUCUAGAGAUAGAGUUUUUCUUSGGAACGUCGGUGACAGGUGGUGCAUGGUUGUCGUCAGCUCGUGUCGUGAGAUGUUGGGUUAAGUCCCGCAASGAGCGCAACCCCUAUAACUAGUUGCCAGCAUUAAGAUGGGGACUCUAGUUAGACUGCCGGUGACAAACCGGAGGAAGGUGGGGAUGACGUCAAAUCAUCAUGCCCCCUUAUGACCUGGGCUACACACGUGCUACAAUGGAUGGUACAACGAGCAGCGMACUCGCGAGGGUAAGCGAAUCUCUAAAAGCCAUUCUCAGUUCGGAUUGUAGUCUGCAACUCGACUACAUGAAGCCGGAAUCGCUAGUAAUCGCGGAUCAGCACGCCGCGGUGAAUACGUUCCCGGGUUU
Molecule: ribosomal RNA, 542 nt
Filed under: uncultured bacterium
Lineage: Bacteria
Description: bacterial SSU rRNA
Rfam family: Bacterial small subunit ribosomal RNA
Source: RNAcentral